CGCGGGAACUUGGUGAAUUAUAUGAGAAAGAACAAGACAUUGAGAAGGCUAUGGACUACUUUGAGCGAGCUGCUGAUCUUUUCCAGAGUGAGGAGGUAACAACGUCUGCAAAUCAAUGCAUGCAGAAAGUUGCUGAAUUUUUCUGCUCAAGCUAGAACAUUUUGAUUGUGAAAUUUUCGUUCCGUUAUAUAUGAAGGCUAUAAUCCAUGGGGUUGAUACGAAUUAAGUAACUACUCCCGAUGCUGAGUAUGAUGUCAUCCGUGCCAGGCUAGCAGCUGAACUUCUAAUGGAAGGAUGUCAACAGAAGAAUCAAGCAGAGACAUUUGAUAAGGAUAGGAGAAAGCUAUUCUAAAAAAUGAUUGGUUGAACCAAAACAUGUGUGCAUGUCUGUAUUGUGUAUAUUAGUUUAGUUGUGUAAACAGUUAAUGUGGAUGACAAACAAUGCAGCAAGCUUGACCUUUAUUA
Molecule: long non-coding RNA, 465 nt
Organism: Asparagus officinalis (garden asparagus)
Lineage: Eukaryota; Viridiplantae; Streptophyta; Magnoliopsida; Asparagales; Asparagaceae
Exons: 2
Source: RefSeq, a predicted model, not a curated record